AGAUAAGCGGGUGUUUGAAUUCAGGUAAAAAUUCUUUGCUGUUCUAAAAUCUUUAGAUUUGAAAUAAAGUCUUGUAUUUUAUAAUAUAAUGAUAUGAUUGUGAGAUUUAUCAAAACUGUUUACUUAUGACAGUGUAAUGAAGUUAUUUAUAAUGAGUCUUAUCUGUCCUUUGACUUUUGUUGUAAGGGUGCUGUGACAGUUCAUGUAACCAAAUCCCUCCAUUUUUCCAGAUCAGCAGCUGUUCUUAGGAUG
Molecule: non-coding RNA, 252 nt
Organism: Biomphalaria pfeifferi
Lineage: Eukaryota; Metazoa; Mollusca; Gastropoda; Planorbidae
Source: the annotation of a GenBank genome assembly